AACGCUAGCUACAGGCUUAACACAUGCAAGUCGCGGGGCAGCAUGAAUUUAGCUUGCUAAAUUUGAUGGCGACCGGCGCACGGGUGAGUAACGCGUAUCCAACCUUCCCUUAUCCACGGGAUAGCCCGUCGAAAGGCGGAUUAAUACCGUAUGAGGUCAUUUGAUGGCAUCUGAUUAUGACGAAAGGUUUGGCGGAUAAGGAUGGGGAUGCGUCCGAUUAGCUUGUUGGCGGGGUAACGGCCCACCAAGGCGACGAUCGGUAGGGGUUCUGAGAGGAAGGUCCCCCACAUUGGAACUGAGACACGGUCCAAACUCCUACGGGAGGCAGCAGUGAGGAAUAUUGGUCAAUGGGCGAGAGCCUGAACCAGCCAAGUAGCGUGCAGGACGACGGCCCUAUGGGUUGUAAACUGCUUUUAUGCGGGGAUAAAGUGGGGGACGCGUCCCUUUUUGCAGGUACCGCAUGAAUAAGGACCGGCUAAUUCCGUGCCAGCAGCCGCGGUAAUACGGAAGGUCCGGGCGUUAUCCGGAUUUAUUGGGUUUAAAGGGAGCGUAGGCUGGAGAUUAAGCGUGUUGUGAAAUGCCGCGGCUCAACCGUGGCACUGCAGCGCGAACUGGUUUCCUUGAGUGCGCUGAAAGUGGGCGGAAUUUGUGGUGUAGCGGUGAAAUGCUUAGAUAUCACGAAGAACUCCGAUUG
This 694-nucleotide ribosomal RNA is filed under the name uncultured bacterium. RNAcentral describes it as "bacterial SSU rRNA". It matches the Rfam family "Bacterial small subunit ribosomal RNA", at positions 32 to 715 of the family's 1533-position model. The record is from RNAcentral.